This 259-nucleotide ribosomal RNA is filed under the name uncultured bacterium. RNAcentral's name for it is "partial 16S ribosomal RNA". It matches the Rfam family "Bacterial small subunit ribosomal RNA", at positions 1244 to 1500 of the family's 1533-position model. The record is from RNAcentral.
GAGAAGCAAGACCGUGAGGUGGAGCAAAACUCAAAAACUUAGUCUCAGUUCGGAUUGUAGGCUGAAACUCGCCUACAUGAAGCUGGAGUUGCUAGUAAUCGCGAAUCAGCAUGUCGCGGUGAAUACGUUCCCGGGCCUUGUACACACCGCCCGUCACACCAUGAGAGUUGGCAAUACCCAACGUACGUGAUCUAACCCGCAAGGGAGGAAGCGUCCUAAGGUAGGGUCAGCGAUUGGGGUGAAGUCGUAACAAGGUAAC